Molecule: ribosomal RNA, 254 nt
Filed under: uncultured bacterium
Lineage: Bacteria
Description: partial 16S ribosomal RNA
Rfam family: Bacterial small subunit ribosomal RNA
Source: RNAcentral
CACGUAGGGUGCGAGCGUUGUCCGGAAUUAUUGGGCGUAAAGAGCUCGUAGGCGGUGUGUCGCGUCGGCCGAGAAAACCUGCAGCUUAACUGUGGGCUUGCGGUCGAUACGGGCAUCACUGGAGUUCGGCAGGGGAGACUGGAAUUCCUGGUGUAGCGGUGAAAUGCGCAGAUAUCAGGAGGAACACCGGUGGCGAAGGCGGGUCUCUGGGCCGAUACUGACGCUGAGGAGCGAAAGCGUGGGGAGCGAACAGG